UACGGGGGGGGCAAGCGUUGUUCGGAAUUACUGGGCGUAAAGGGUGCGUAGGCGGCGCGGUAAGUCGGGUGUGAAAUCUCGGAGCUUAACUCCGAAACUGCAUUCGAUACUGCCGUGCUUGAGGACUGGAGAGGAGACUGGAAUUUACGGUGUAGCGGUGAAAUGCGUAGAUAUCGUAAGGAAGACCAGUGGCGAAGGCGGGUCUCUGGACAGUUCCUGACGCUGAGGCACGAAGGUCAGGGGAGCAAACGGGG
This 254-nucleotide ribosomal RNA is filed under the name uncultured bacterium. RNAcentral describes it as "partial 16S ribosomal RNA". It matches the Rfam family "Bacterial small subunit ribosomal RNA", at positions 524 to 777 of the family's 1533-position model. The record is from RNAcentral.